RNAcentral lists this long non-coding RNA (745 nucleotides) under Pogona vitticeps (central bearded dragon). RNAcentral describes it as "lncRNA (ENSPVIG00000016444.1)". Lineage: Eukaryota; Metazoa; Chordata; Lepidosauria; Squamata; Agamidae. The record is from RNAcentral.
UUGUGUUUCCCUGAUGGUUCUAGAAGCUGCCAGGAUGGAUGAACAAUACACUCAGAAGAUUCUAUAAUAAGGCAAUGAGAGGAAGCACAGUCAAGUCUGAGAACCACCUUGUCUCUGGAAUGUAGCAAGCCAAGGAGUGAGAAUUUCAUGGCAGCUUGGGUUCUGCUUAAAAUGGUGGCCCUCUGCUGCUUGAUCUCCCUCUCGCUUCAUGACAAUAUGUUCUGUAUGUGAUCUGGACAUCAGCAUUCUGGGAAGUGAAAUCUAAAACAUCUGGAGGACCAAAGAUGGAUGAUCACAGUUUGAGGGCAUCCUCUACAAAUAAAGGAAGCAGAAACACACUGAUGCUGUGAGAUGUAGAUCUUGCUAUACUAAAAGCCCAACAAAUGAGCAAAUUGAUUGUAAAUCAACUCUUUCCUGUGACAUAAAACCUGAAUCAGGAACCUGUGUUUCCAUCAGAGGCUAUCAGGAUGGAGAGCUACAGUGGAUAGACCAAGGCUGCUGGCGAAAGUCCUCCGCUCUUUGUGGUAUAACAGCAGAUUACCCCAAGGGACUGUACACCGUAACCAAAUGUUGUGAAGACAAUGAUUUUUGCAAUCAAUAUCUGUAGGAAAGGCUUAAAGCAACCUGGAGUACUUUAAUCUACUUGAAUGCAUUAAAACACUGAGUCUUACCAAUCCCCAUUUGGGGCAAUAGGUAAAAUCUGGAACCCAAUAAACAAACAACCAAAAUCGACGUAUCUUCUUUC